Molecule: unclassified non-coding RNA, 294 nt
Filed under: Arthroderma sp.
Lineage: Eukaryota; Fungi; Ascomycota; Eurotiomycetes; Onygenales; Arthrodermataceae
Description: partial contains 5.8S ribosomal RNA, internal transcribed spacer 2, and large subunit ribosomal RNA
Rfam family: 5.8S ribosomal RNA (bases 1-71)
Source: RNAcentral
GUGAGUCAUCGAAUCUUUGAACGCAUAUUGCGCCCUCUGGUAUUCCGGAGGGCAUGCCUGUCCGAGCGUCAUUGCAAACCCCUCAAGCAUGGCUUGUGUGUUGGGCCAUCGUCCCCUAAAGGACGGGCCUCAAAGGCAGUGGCGGCGUGAACGAUCUCAGCGUCCGAGUGCAUGGGAAUCCAUCUCACUCUCAAGGCGUGGUCGGGGCGCUUGCCCCCCAAAUCUUUAACCAAGGUUUGACCUCGGAUCAGGUAGGAGUACCCGCUGAACUUAAGCAUAUCAAUAAGCGGAGGA